GGCGUACAACAACGGGGACGUGUCCCCAACGUGGAGCCUGUGGGGAUGAGCCUCAGUAACAGCGUGAGUAAUCACGGAAAACUGGAAAAGAAAGCGUGGGGUGGAGUUUGGUAGGGACUUAUGUCAGCCGAAGAAGUCAGACC
RNAcentral lists this small RNA (143 nucleotides) under uncultured Prevotella sp. RNAcentral's name for it is "RT-3 RNA". It matches the Rfam family "RT-3 RNA". Lineage: Bacteria; Pseudomonadati; Bacteroidota; Bacteroidia; Bacteroidales; Prevotellaceae. The record is from RNAcentral.